This 440-nucleotide ribosomal RNA is filed under the name uncultured bacterium. RNAcentral's name for it is "partial 16S ribosomal RNA". It matches the Rfam family "Bacterial small subunit ribosomal RNA", at positions 338 to 795 of the family's 1533-position model. The record is from RNAcentral.
CCUACGGGUGGCAGCAGUGGGGAAUAUUGCACAAUGGGGGAAACCCUGAUGCAGCGACGCCGCGUGAGUGAAGAAGUAAUUCGGUAUGUAAAGCUCUAUCAGCAGGGAAGAAAAUGACGGUACCUGAGUAAGAAGCCCCGGCUAACGACGUGCCAGCAGCCGCGGUAAUACGGAGGGGGCAAGCGUUAUCCGGAUGUACUGGGUGUAAAGGGAGCGUAGACGGCAGUGCAAGUCUGGAGUGAAAGGCGGGGGCUCAACCACCGGACUGCUCUUGAAACUGUACGGCUGGAGUGCAGGAGAGGUAAGUGGAAUUCCUAGUGUAGCGGUGAAAUGCGUAGAUAUUAGGAGGAACACCAGUGGCGAAGGCGGCUUACUGGACUGUAACUGACGUUGAGGCUCGAAAGCGUGGGGAGCAAACAGGAUUAGAUACCCGGGUAGUC